GCCUCUGUGGUUUAGUGGUAGAAGCUUCGCUUCAUGACCCAGAGGUCCCGGGUUCGAUUCACGGGCAUUGGGAUA
RNAcentral lists this transfer RNA (75 nucleotides) under Plutella xylostella (diamondback moth). Its description in RNAcentral is "tRNA-Met". Lineage: Eukaryota; Metazoa; Arthropoda; Insecta; Lepidoptera; Plutellidae. The record is from RNAcentral.